GUGUCAGCCGCCGCGGUAAUACGUAGGUGGCAAGCGUUGUCCGGAAUUACUGGGCGUAAAGCGCGCGUAGGCGGUUUCUUAAGUCUGAUGUGAAAGCCCACGGCUUAACCGUGGAGGGUCAUUGGAUACUGGGAGACUUGAGUGCAGAAGAGGAAAGUGGAAUUCCAGGUGGAGCGGUGAAAUGCGUAGAGAUUUGAGGGAACACCAGUGGCGAAGGCGACUUUCUGGUC
This 230-nucleotide ribosomal RNA is filed under the name uncultured bacterium. RNAcentral describes it as "partial 16S rRNA". It matches the Rfam family "Bacterial small subunit ribosomal RNA", at positions 505 to 734 of the family's 1533-position model. The record is from RNAcentral.